RNAcentral lists this long non-coding RNA (937 nucleotides) under Physcomitrium patens. Its description in RNAcentral is "long non-coding RNA (PPAT_LNC014741)". Lineage: Eukaryota; Viridiplantae; Streptophyta; Bryopsida; Funariales; Funariaceae. The record is from RNAcentral.
UCAUAAGUUUGGCAAUAGAUCUUUGGAUGAAAUUUUUUAUAUUUGUGAGUAUAUUUGUGAUUGAUAAAUAUUAUAAAUUUGAGUUUGAUGGAAUGGUUAGAUUGAAAGGCAUGACGAUUUUUGUGGGUUAUGAUCUUAGAAUUUAGGAUUUUGAGAACUAAUGAGGUUUUCUUAGAUAUCUAUCAAUCCAUUGAUUAGAUUGAAGAAUUUUUUUUUAUAGAAGUAGUCAAUUUGAUUUCUAACAAGUAUGUAAAUUUUAGAAGCAAAAUAACAAUUCAAUCAGAAGUAAUUGACUCUAGGAGAUUGGCAUCAAAGUCAAAGAAGGAGGCUGGCUAAUAUCCAAGUAUAUUUUUGAGGUUAUUGUCUAUUUGGUAAUUUUGAUCCUUUUCAAUUUUUUGUGCUUAUUUUCAACUUAAUUAUCAAGAAUUGUGCAAAUUUUGAGUUAAAAUCAAUGAUUCAUUCAUUAGUUAUUGAGGUCUAAAUGUACUAUAAGAAUUACUAAGGUUUGGUUAGGAUUUGGUUAGGAUUUGGUUAGUGUUAAAGAUUUGAUUUAAGGUUUUAUUUGAUUAGAAUUUAGCUAAGAUUUAUUUAAAAUUUAUUUAAGAUUUGAUUAGGAUUUGAUUAGGAUUUGAUUAGGAUUUUUCUAAGAUUUGUUUAGGAUUUAAUUUGGACUUAUUUAGGAUUUGUUUAGGAUUUGGUUAAGAUUUGAUUAAGAUUUAAUUAAUAUUUAUUUAGGAUUUAUCUAAGAUUUGUUUAGGAUUUGAUUAGAGCUUAUUUAGGAUUUGACUAGGAUUUAUUUAAGAUUUGAUUAGGAUUUAUUUGGAGUUUAAUUAAGAUUUAUCUAGGAUUUUAUUAAGGCCAUUUAGGAUUUGAAUAAGGUUUGAUUAAAUUUUGACUAGGAUUUGACUAAGAUUUAAUUAAGAUCUAUAUAUAUAUU